GCUGCGGUGGUGGAGGAGGAUGAGAGGAAGGGAUCUUCGUCUAGGAUUUCAGUGGAUUGAGUGAGGAGAGAAGGGGAGAUGGUAAUCGGUUUUUCUUUUUUUUUUUCUUUUUUGUUUGUAAUUGGGCCGAAUGGGCUAGGUGGGGUGGGUUGAGUAGAGUAACCUUUUAUUUUUGGUUGGAUUGGGCUUUAUAUUUAGGCAUUAGUAGAUUUUUUUUAAAAGUUUUGGCAUAAAUGAGACACUUACACAAAAGUGUCCCAAACAUGUAUCCCUAUAACCUAAUUCUUUUGUAGUGAUGGUAUUAGAGCAUAAAAAAGAAUACAAAAAGAAUAAUAGAAAAUAGUU
This 345-nucleotide long non-coding RNA is filed under the name Ananas comosus (pineapple). Its description in RNAcentral is "long non-coding RNA (ACOM_LNC019815)". Lineage: Eukaryota; Viridiplantae; Streptophyta; Magnoliopsida; Poales; Bromeliaceae. The record is from RNAcentral.